CAAACACGACGAUAGCCUAAAAACGAAAUUUGUUUCCCGUCUUACUGAAGAAGAUCGACUUACUUCAAGUUACCGAUGAAUGAAUAUCAGCUUUCUCGUUGUUUUUGACGACCGAUGCAUAUUUUUACCGACAAACAUCGUUACGAGACAGGGGUUUUGAUGAUUAAUUUAUCACAGAUUACACAACCGAAGGAAACGCAGUACCGAUCCAUGUGUUACAAUCAGACUGAGUCUUCAUGCAGUACAUUCUGGAAUGAGGAACACCGCAUGCAUUGUGGUCCAAAUUGAUGGCAUUGUCUUAACACAAAGCAGAAAGGAAUGAAGAGAAAUUAAGAAGUUUAUGUUUCACAUUAAUUAAGAUUAUUCGAGAUAUGUUAUCUGUCGAGGUAUACAACAUUUCCUUUCAUAAUAAAAGUGUAAACAUUAAUAUAUAUACAAAAAAAAAUCAUGUAUAUAAUCUAAAAAUCCUUGUUAGUUAUUUGUUGUACUAGCAAAAAAUAUAAUAUAGUCGUCUCAAGCUUGGUUGUAUUGAAAUCCCCGGGGACAGUGACAGAGAUAUAUCACUACAGUACGUGCUACAUCAAACAACACACCAUUGUUCAAAUUGUCAAUCAACAUUUCAUUUAGUCAGUAUUUAGAAUUGAUUCCAAACUUAUGAUAAUCUUUUCACAGUUUAUUAGAAAUAAUGUUAAAUUCGAUAGAAGAAGUCUUCGACUGUUGCUUGUUUUUGUUUAUUUUAAGUUCACGGACACACAUGAAAACAGUUUCCAGUACAUCUGGGCUACUUCGAGGAAACUACGUAUACUGUCUGAAAUCAGUCUUGUGCGUCGGUGACAAAAUGUAUACAUAUACUACUAUAACUCUGCUUGAAAAUAUUAUUUUG
Molecule: long non-coding RNA, 883 nt
Organism: Pecten maximus
Lineage: Eukaryota; Metazoa; Mollusca; Bivalvia; Pectinida; Pectinidae
Exons: 3
Source: RefSeq, a predicted model, not a curated record